GACGAACGCUGGCGGCGUGCUUAACACAUGCAAGUCGAACGGAAAGGCCCUGCUUGCAGGGUACUCGAGUGGCGAACGGGUGAGUAACACGUGGGUGAUCUGCCCUGCACUUCGGGAUAAGCCUUGGAAACUGGGUCUAAUACCGGAUAGGAGCCAUUUUUAGUGUGAUGGUUGGAAAGUUUUUUCGGUGUAGGAUGAGCUCGCGGCCUAUCAGCUUGUUGGUGGGGUAAUGGCCUACCAAGGCGGCGUCGGGUAGCCGGCCUGAGAGGGUGGACGGCCACAUUGGGACUGAGAUACGGCCCAGACUCCUACGGGAGGCAGCAGUGGGGAAUAUUGCACAAUGGGCGCAAGCCUGAUGCAGCGACGCCGCGUGGGGGAUGACGGCCUUCGGGUUGUAAACUCCUUUCGCUAGGGACGAAGCUUUUUGUGACGGUACCUAGAUAAGAAGCACCGGCUAACUACGUG
RNAcentral lists this ribosomal RNA (465 nucleotides) under uncultured bacterium. RNAcentral describes it as "partial 16S ribosomal RNA". It matches the Rfam family "Bacterial small subunit ribosomal RNA", at positions 28 to 507 of the family's 1533-position model. The record is from RNAcentral.